Molecule: long non-coding RNA, 576 nt
Organism: Vigna angularis (adzuki bean)
Lineage: Eukaryota; Viridiplantae; Streptophyta; Magnoliopsida; Fabales; Fabaceae
Exons: 2
Source: RefSeq, a predicted model, not a curated record
UCUGUUCCAAUCCAAAAUGCCAAAUUCUUACAACCAUCACCAAAAUCAAACCCAAGGAUUACUCAUUCAUACUCAAUAUUUCAUCAUUUAAUUCUCUCUAAUACAAUCUACCAGGUUUCCAAAAAACACUUCAACUAAGUAGUAAGAACAAUUAAACAGUUAUGAUUAUGCAAAAGAACCAUCUAGGGUAUUGCCAAUGCAAUCAUUAGCCGACACAAUAGUAGAACAUGUACCUACGUUCUGCAUAUGAAGAUUAUUGUCGCAUGGUAUAUCUCCUUUGCCACAUGAUGUCAAGCUUUCAAGUGCAAUAACUUGAUGAUUAGCAUACUCAGUUUUGAAGAACUUGCAGAGAUGAAGAGAGAAAGUACUACUACUGAUUCAAACAAGGGUACAUGAUUUUGUAGCAGAAGAGGACCACAAAAGAAAGUGGCUCUUCCAGAACAUUAUUCAUACGAAAUGAACAUGAUUCGUUUCGAUUCCAAAGGUCAGUGCCAAAUUCAUCUUCACCAAUUUGAAUGCACUGAUAUUUGUGCUUGUCGGUAGUCUCACAAGAAGCUGGUGUGGUUAUCCAAUUUA